CUGGUCAACCAGUCUUUGAUAGAUCACUACUUUGAAAGUAGUAGAAAUUGGCAUAAUUACCAAUGUUGAC
This 70-nucleotide transfer RNA is filed under the name Haematopinus apri. RNAcentral describes it as "tRNA-Ser". Lineage: Eukaryota; Metazoa; Arthropoda; Insecta; Psocodea; Haematopinidae. The record is from RNAcentral.